AGAGCGAACGCUGGCGGCGUGCUUAACACAUGCAAGUCGAACGCGCAGCAUUCUGUAGCAAUACAGGGUGUGGGCGCGUGGCGAACGGGUGCGUAACACGUGACUAACCUACCCUUGAGUGGGGGAUAACCUCGGGAAACCGGGGCUAAUACCGCAUAACAUCUUCGGGAUGAGAAGCUGAAGAUCAAAGGAGCAAUUCGCUUUCGGAGGGGGUCGCGGCUGAUUAGCUAGUUGGCGGGUAACGGCCCACCAAGGCUUUGAUCGGUA
This 267-nucleotide ribosomal RNA is filed under the name uncultured bacterium. RNAcentral's name for it is "partial small subunit ribosomal RNA". It matches the Rfam family "Bacterial small subunit ribosomal RNA", at positions 26 to 285 of the family's 1533-position model. The record is from RNAcentral.